UACGUAGGUGGCGAGCGUUGUCCGGAUUUACUGGGCGUAAAGGGAGCGUAGGCGGACUUUUAAGUGAGAUGCGAAAUACUCGGGCUCAACUUGAGCGCUGCAUUUCAAACUGGAAGUCUAGAGUGCAGGAGAGGAGAAUGGAAUUCCUAGUGUAGCGGUGAAAUGCGUAGAGAUUAGGAAGAACACCAGUGGCGAAGGCGAUUCUCUGGACUGUAACUGACGCUGAGGCUCGAAAGCGUGGGGAGCAAACAGG
This 253-nucleotide ribosomal RNA is filed under the name uncultured bacterium. RNAcentral describes it as "partial 16S ribosomal RNA". It matches the Rfam family "Bacterial small subunit ribosomal RNA", at positions 524 to 776 of the family's 1533-position model. The record is from RNAcentral.